UUAAGGCUUAGUUGUUGCUGUUGUUGUUGUACAAUAGGAAAGAAGAUAUUAGCAGCAGGUUACCCCAGCUAUGGUGGUCCAAAAAGGUUUAACAAGAUUUUGACAAUGCCAACCAGAUUUCCAAGUGAAUGGGUAGCAGAAAUAGUUUAAGUUGGAAGAUGGUGGUUUUGAUUUGAAGGGGAAUGAGAUGAAAAAGAUGCAUGAAAUUCUGGUAUCUUUUCAUUCCAAUGUGAAUCGAACAAGUGGUAACUCCAAAUGGGCUUUUCAGUGACCAGUGAUUAGUAAUAUUGAUGGUUCCAGUGAAGAUGUUUUUCUAAGACAAAUUCUUCCGUAAACCUAGUCUACCACACCAUCUGUUGACUAAGCCAACAAAAUCAUAACAUAUGAUUUAAUUUUUAAUUAUCCCUCCAUGCUACAACAAUCAAGAAUAAACAAGUGAUUUAAUUUUUAAUUAUCCUUAAAUUGUGGAUGAUGUGAAAUCAUUCCAUUGGUUUAGUCAAUGGCAACAUGGUAGACCAAGUCUAAGUAGCGUUUCUCCUUUCUUUAACCUAUGUCACUAAGGGUAUAAGUGAUAAUGUGACAGACAGCACACUAGCCAAAAACCCAACCGAUAUAUAUGUUCUCAUAACCAAGAACCUAAUAUAACUAAAAAUAUUACAACCUCACAUAUACCUGAAAAUAUUACAACCUAAUAUGUAAGUAAAAUAAAAUUAAGUAAAUUGCUAAACAACAAUAGAAGAAAAAGAAUUACUUACCAAGUUUCCUAUUACUAGAAUGGAUAAAAAGAAACACAACAUUUGCAAAUAGGUCCCCUCAAAGAUAGGCUCGAGUCAAAAUAAGGAUUUACACUAUGCCUACAGGGAAGAGUAUCUACUACAUCAACAAUUAACCUAGGACAUAAACAAUUGCAAAUUGAGUUCAAUAGAUAGAUUUAACUAUAUCUAGUUCAGCACUGGAAAAUAAUUAGGCAAAUGAGAUUAGAGAUGAAUGACUGACUUUUAAGGAAGAGACCAAUCUGUGUACACAUUUCAUUGAGGAUAUUGAGACACUAACUCACCAAAAUCGACAAUG
Molecule: unclassified non-coding RNA, 1071 nt
Filed under: Hevea brasiliensis (rubber tree)
Lineage: Eukaryota; Viridiplantae; Streptophyta; Magnoliopsida; Malpighiales; Euphorbiaceae
Source: RNAcentral